GAGGAAUAUUGGUCAAUGGGCGCAAGCCUGAACCAGCCAUCCCGCGUGAAGGAUGACGGCCCUAUGGGUUGUAAACUUCUUUUCUGUACCAAGAAACAAUCCCUCGUGAGGGGUCUUGACGGUAGUACAGGAAUAAGCACCGGCUAACUCCGUGCCAGCAGCCGCGGUAAUACGGAGGGUGCAAGCGUUAUCCGGAUUUAUUGGGUUUAAAGGGUGCGUAGGCGGAUUGAUAAGUCAGUGGUGAAAUCCUGCAGCUUAACUGUAGAACUGCCAUUGAUACUGUUAAUCUUGAGUAUAGUUGAGGUAGGCGGAAUGAGUAGUGUAGCGGUGAAAUGCUUAGAUAUUACUCAGAACACCGAUUGCGAAGGCAGCUUGCCAAACUAUCACUGACGCUGAUGCACGAAAGCGUGGGGAUCGAAC
RNAcentral lists this ribosomal RNA (420 nucleotides) under uncultured bacterium. RNAcentral describes it as "bacterial SSU rRNA". It matches the Rfam family "Bacterial small subunit ribosomal RNA", at positions 356 to 773 of the family's 1533-position model. The record is from RNAcentral.